RNAcentral lists this ribosomal RNA (423 nucleotides) under uncultured prokaryote. Its description in RNAcentral is "bacterial SSU rRNA". It matches the Rfam family "Bacterial small subunit ribosomal RNA", at positions 355 to 774 of the family's 1533-position model. The record is from RNAcentral.
UGAGGAAUAUUGCACAAUGGGCGCAAGCCUGAACCAGCCAUCCCGCGUGCAGGAAGACGGCCCUAUGGGUUGUAAACUGCUUUUCCAGGGAGAGAAACUUGCGUACGCGUUGCGCAAUUGACGGUACCCUGGGAAUAAGCAUCGGCUAACUCCGUGCCAGCAGCCGCGGUAAUACGGAGGAUGCGAGCGUUAUCCGGAUUCAUUGGGUUUAAAGGGUGCGUAGGCGGACUAUUAAGUCAGUGGUGAAAUCCUGCAGCUUAACUGCAGAACUGCCAUUGAUACUGAUAGCCUUGAGUUUGGUUAAGGUAGGCGGAAUGUGUAAUGUAGCGGUGAAAUGCUUAGAUAUUACACAGAACACCGAUUGCGAAGGCAGCUUACUGGGCCAUUACUGACGCUGAGGCACGAAAGCGUGGGGAGCGAACA